AACGAACGCUGGCGGCGUGCCUAACACAUGCAAGUCGAGCGCGAAAAGGGCAACCUGAGUAGAGCGGCGCACGGGUGCGUAACACGUGAAUAAUCUGCCUUUGAGUUUGGGAUAACCUUCCGAAAGGUCGGCUAAUACCGAAUAAGCUCACGGGGGCUUCGGCCCCUGGGGGAAAAGUAGGCCACUGUUUACAAGCUUACACUCGAAGAUGAGUUCGCGGCCCAUCAGCUAGUUGGCGGGGUAACGGCCCACCAAGGCGACGACGGGUAGCUGGUCUGAGAGGACGAUCAGCCACACUGGAACUGAGACACGGUCCAGACUCCUACGGGAGGCAGCAGUGGGGAAUUUUCCACAAUGGGCGAAAGCCUGAUGGAGCAACGCCGCGUGUGUGAUGAAGGUCUUCGGAUUGUAAAGCACUUUCGACCGGGACGAAAAAGCCGUGGCUAACAUCCACGGCCCUGACGGUACCGGGAGAAGAAGCACCGGCUAACUCUGUGCCAGCAGCCGCGGUAAUACAGAGGGUGCAAGCGUUGUUCGGAAUUAUUGGGCGUAAAGCGCGUGUAGGCGGCCUAUCAAGUCAGAUGUGAAAGCCCUCGGCUUAACCGAGGAAGUGCGUCUGAAACUGAUGGGCUUGAGUGCCGGAGAGGAUGGCGGAAUUCCGCAAGUAGAGGUGAAAUUCGUAGAUAUGCGGAGGAACACCGGUGGCGAAGGCGGCCAUCUGGACGGCAACUGACGCUGAGACGCGAAAGCGUGGGGAGCAAACAGGAUUAGAUACCCUGGUAGUCCACGCCGUAAACGAUGAGAACUAGGUGUCGUGGGUGUUGACCCCCGCGGUGCCGCAGCUAACGCAUUAAGUUCUCCGCCUGGGAAGUACGGCCGCAAGGUUA
This 887-nucleotide ribosomal RNA is filed under the name uncultured bacterium. Its description in RNAcentral is "bacterial SSU rRNA". It matches the Rfam family "Bacterial small subunit ribosomal RNA", at positions 28 to 896 of the family's 1533-position model. The record is from RNAcentral.